This 229-nucleotide ribosomal RNA is filed under the name uncultured bacterium. RNAcentral's name for it is "partial 16S ribosomal RNA". It matches the Rfam family "Bacterial small subunit ribosomal RNA", at positions 568 to 796 of the family's 1533-position model. The record is from RNAcentral.
CGCGUAGGCGGUCUUGUCGGUCAGAUGUGAAAGCCCAGGGCUCAACCCUGGACGUGCAUUUGAAACAGCAAGACUUGAGUACGGGAGAGGAAAGCGGAAUUCCUGGUGUAGAGGUGAAAUUCGUAGAUAUCAGGAGGAACACCGAUGGCGAAGGCAGCUUUCUGGACCGAUACUGACGCUGAGGCGCGAAGGCGUGGGUAGCGAACAGGAUUAGAUACCCUGGUAGUCC